This 497-nucleotide ribosomal RNA is filed under the name uncultured bacterium. Its description in RNAcentral is "partial 16S ribosomal RNA". It matches the Rfam family "Bacterial small subunit ribosomal RNA", at positions 28 to 507 of the family's 1533-position model. The record is from RNAcentral.
GAUGAACGCUGGCGGCGUGCCUAAUACAUGCAAGUCGAGCGAACAGACGAGGAGCUUGCUCCUCUGACGUUAGCGGCGGACGGGUGAGUAACACGUGGAUAACCUACCUAUAAGACUGGGAUAACUUCGGGAAACCGGAGCUAAUACCGGAUAAUAUAUUGAACCGCAUGGUUCAAUAGUGAAAGACGGUUUUGCUGUCACUUAUAGCUGGAUCCGCGCCGCAUUAGCUAGUUGGUAAGGUAACGGCUUACCAAGGCAACGAUGCGUAGCCGACCUGAGAGGGUGAUCGGCCACACGGGAACUGAGGCACGGUCCAGACUCCUACGGGAGGCAGCAGUAGGGAAUCUUCCGCAAUGGGCGAAAGCCUGACGGAGCAACGCCGCGUGAGUGAUGAAGGUCUUCGGAUCGUAAAACUCUGUUAUUAGGGAAGAUCAAAAGUGUAAGUAACUAUGCACGUCUUGACGGUACCUAGUCAGAAAGCCACGGCUAACUACGUG